AGUGAACGCUGGCGGUAUGCCUAACACAUGCAAGUCGAACGGCAGCACAGUAAGAUCUUGCUAUUACUGGUGGCGAGUCGCGUACGUGAGAGGAAUACAACCUACUCUUCUUUUUCGUGUGGGAUCACGUAGGGAAACUUACGCUAAUACCGCAUACGACCUACGGGUGAAAGCAGUUGAUCUUCGGACCUUGCGCGCUUCUAUCAGCCGAUGUCGGAUUAGCUAGUUGGCGGGGUAAAGGCCCACCAAGGCGACGAUCCGUAGCUGGUCUGAGAGGAUGAUCAGCCACACUGGAACUGAGACACGGUCCAGACUCCUACGGGAGGCAGCAGUGGGGAAUAUUCGACAAUGGGGGAAAGCCUGAUCCAGCCAUACCGCGUGGGUGAAGAAGGCCUUCGGGUUGUAAAGCCCUUUUGUUGGGAAAGAAAAGCAGCAGGUUAAUACCCCGCUGUUCUGACGGUACCCAAAGAAUAAGCAACGGCUAACUUCGUG
RNAcentral lists this ribosomal RNA (492 nucleotides) under uncultured bacterium. RNAcentral's name for it is "partial 16S ribosomal RNA". It matches the Rfam family "Bacterial small subunit ribosomal RNA", at positions 29 to 507 of the family's 1533-position model. The record is from RNAcentral.